AAGUCUUACAUUCCGCCCAGGGCGUGAUGACUCAUUGUAGGGCUCAUUUAUGUGGAUACCUGCAUUUUUUGUCAUAAAUAAAGGACGUCUUUUUGCAUUCAAAUAUUUUGUUCACUGUCUUUCUAUUUUUGCAGUUUUCAAAAAUAAAAAAUAUAAAAAAAAAUAUAUACAUUUGGCAAUGUUUUGUUUAGUUUCCACUUC
This 201-nucleotide long non-coding RNA is filed under the name Lathyrus oleraceus (garden pea). RNAcentral describes it as "Pisum sativum (pea) long non-coding RNA (PSAT_LNC005767)". Lineage: Eukaryota; Viridiplantae; Streptophyta; Magnoliopsida; Fabales; Fabaceae. The record is from RNAcentral.